This 508-nucleotide ribosomal RNA is filed under the name uncultured bacterium. Its description in RNAcentral is "partial 16S ribosomal RNA". It matches the Rfam family "Bacterial small subunit ribosomal RNA", at positions 30 to 523 of the family's 1533-position model. The record is from RNAcentral.
AUUGAACGCUGGCGGCAUGCCUUACACAUGCAAGUCGAACGGCAGCGGGGGAGAAGCUUGCUUUUCCUGCCGGCGAGUGGCGAACGGGUGAGUAAUACAUCGGAACGUGCCCUGUAGUGGGGGAUAACUAGUCGAAAGAUUAGCUAAUACCGCAUACGACCUGAGGGUGAAAGUGGGGGACCGCAAGGCCUCAUGCUAUAGGAGCGGCCGAUGUCUGAUUAGCUAGUUGGUGGGGUAAAGGCCUACCAAGGCGACGAUCAGUAGCUGGUCUGAGAGGACGAUCAGCCACACUGGGACUGAGACACGGCCCAGACUCCUACGGGAGGCAGCAGCGGGGAAUUUUGGACAAUGGGCGAAAGCCUGAUCCAGCAAUGCCGCGUGUGUGAAGAAGGCCUUCGGGUUGUAAAGCACUUUUGUCCGGAAAGAAAUGGCUCUGGUUAAUACCUGGGGUCGAUGACGGUACCGGAAGAAUAAGGACCGGCUAACUACGUGCCAGCCGCCGCUGUAA